RNAcentral lists this microRNA (22 nucleotides) under Equus caballus (horse). RNAcentral describes it as "eca-miR-9160". Lineage: Eukaryota; Metazoa; Chordata; Mammalia; Perissodactyla; Equidae. The record is from miRBase by way of RNAcentral.
UCCAAGAGCCUGUUAUCGUGCU